This 88-nucleotide transfer RNA is filed under the name Bacilli bacterium. Its description in RNAcentral is "tRNA-Ser". It matches the Rfam family "tRNA". Rfam says of the family: Transfer RNA (tRNA) molecules are approximately 80 nucleotides in length. Their secondary structure includes four short double-helical elements and three loops (D, anti-codon, and T loops). Further hydrogen bonds mediate the characteristic L-shaped molecular structure. tRNAs have two regions of fundamental functional importance: the anti-codon, which is responsible for specific mRNA codon recognition, and the 3' end, to which the tRNAs corresponding amino acid is attached (by aminoacyl-tRNA synthetases). tRNAs cope with the degeneracy of the genetic code in two manners: having more than one tRNA (with a specific anti-codon) for a particular amino acid; and 'wobble' base-pairing, i.e. permitting non-standard base-pairing at the 3rd anti-codon position. The record is from RNAcentral. Lineage: Bacteria; Bacillati; Bacillota; Bacilli.
GGAAGAGUACCCAAGCGGCUGAAGGGGGCGGUUUCGAAAACCGCUAGGUCCAAAAGAUGCAGGGGUUCAAAUCCCCUCUCUUCCGCCA